CCUACGGGGGGCUGCAGUGAGGAAUAUUGGUCAAUGGGCGCGAGCCUGAACCAGCCAAGUCGCGUGAGGGAAGACGGUCCUAUGGAUUGUAAACCUCUUUUGUCGGGGAGCAAAAGACGCCACGCGUGGCGUUCCGAGAGUACCCGAAGAAAAAGCAUCGGCUAACUCCGUGCCAGCAGCCGCGGUAAUACGGAGGAUGCGAGCGUUAUCCGGAUUUAUUGGGUUUAAAGGGUGCGCAGGCGGAAGAUCAAGUCAGUGGUAAAAUUGAGAGGCUCAACCUCUUCGAGCCGUUGAAACUGGUUUUCUUGAGUGAGUGAGAAGUAUGCGGAAUGCGUGGUGUAGCGGUGAAAUGCAUAGAUAUCACGCAGAACUCCGAUUGCGAAGGCAGCAUACCGGCGCUCAACUGACGCUGAGGCACGAAGGCCAGGGGAGCGAAAGGGAUUAGAUACCCUUGUAGUC
Molecule: ribosomal RNA, 459 nt
Filed under: uncultured bacterium
Lineage: Bacteria
Description: partial 16S ribosomal RNA
Rfam family: Bacterial small subunit ribosomal RNA
Source: RNAcentral